RNAcentral lists this ribosomal RNA (795 nucleotides) under uncultured bacterium. Its description in RNAcentral is "bacterial SSU rRNA". It matches the Rfam family "Bacterial small subunit ribosomal RNA", at positions 66 to 839 of the family's 1533-position model. The record is from RNAcentral.
GCGCGAAGCCCCCUUUCGGGGGGCGAGUAGAGCGGCGAACGGGUGAGUAACGCGUGGGUAAUCUACCUCCGAGUUGGGGAUAACACUCCCAACGGGGUGCUAAUACCGAAUUCGAUGCGGUGGUUUCGGCUGCCGCAUGAAAGAUGGCCUCUGCUUGCAUGCUGUCGCUCGGAGAUGAGCCAGCGUCCUAUUAGCUUGUUGGUGGGGUAAUGGCCUACCAAGGCGACGAUGGGUAGCCGGCCUGAGAGGGUGAACGGCCACACUGGCACUGAGACAAGGGCCAGUCCCCUACGGGGGCCAGCAGUCUAGAAAUUUGCACAAUCGCCGAAAGGCGGAUGCAGCGACGCCACGUGGAGGAUGAAGUCCUUCGGGGCGUAAACUCCUGUCAGAUGGGAAGAAGGCGCGGGUGUUAAUACCACCCGUUGCUUGACGGUACCAUCAGAGGAAGCUCCGGCUAACUGCGUGCCAGCAGCCGCGGUAAUACGUGGGGAGCAAGCGUUGUUCGGAUUUACUGGGCGUAAAGAGCUCGUAGGCGGGUGUGUAAGUCGGGUGUGAAAUCCUCUGGCUCAACCAGAGAAUUGCACCCGAAACUGCGCAUCUUGAGUUCAGCAGAGGGAAUCGGAAUCAGUUGUGUAGCGGUGAAAUGCGUAGAGAUAACUGAGAACACCAGUGGCGAAAGCGGAUUCCUGGGCUGACACUGACGCUGAGAGCGAAAGCUGGGGGAGCGAACAGGAUUAGAUACCCUGGUAGUCCCAGCCGUAAACGAUGGGUACUAGUGUUGGGGGAUGUUGACCC